GCCAUCUUAGCUCAGUUGGUAGAGCAACUGAUUCGUAAUCAGUAGGUCGGCGGUUCGAUUCCGCCAGAUGGCUCCA
This 76-nucleotide transfer RNA is filed under the name Deltaproteobacteria bacterium. RNAcentral describes it as "tRNA-Thr". It matches the Rfam family "tRNA". Rfam says of the family: Transfer RNA (tRNA) molecules are approximately 80 nucleotides in length. Their secondary structure includes four short double-helical elements and three loops (D, anti-codon, and T loops). RNAcentral also lists the same sequence under 1 other name. Lineage: Bacteria; Pseudomonadati; Myxococcota; Myxococcia. The record is from RNAcentral.